Molecule: non-coding RNA, 27 nt
Filed under: Cricetulus griseus (Chinese hamster)
Lineage: Eukaryota; Metazoa; Chordata; Mammalia; Rodentia; Cricetidae
Source: RNAcentral
UGUAAUGAAUGUGGAAAUCGAUGGAAG